This is a small nuclear RNA of Protopterus annectens (West African lungfish), 162 nucleotides long. RefSeq annotates it as U1 spliceosomal RNA. NCBI's taxonomy places the organism in Eukaryota, Metazoa, Chordata, Ceratodontiformes, Protopteridae. The record is from RefSeq and is a predicted model, not a curated record. The transcript has a single exon.
AUAGUUGCAGGCGAUGGGGAUAUUAUGACCAAGAUUGUGGGUUCCCCAGGGUGAGACUUUUCCACUGCACACAUUGAUGGGUUCAUUCCUGUGAUUUCCCCAAAUGUGGGAAACUCAGUUACCUAUUUUUUUUAAAAUGGCAGAUUAUGUUUCAGCAGUUAU